CAUCGGAUCCACAGGUCUGCCCGCCCAUAUGCGACUAUGAGUCGUAAACGGCCGCCCUAGCGUGAGGGUGCUAAGGUAGCGAAAUUCCUUGCCUUUUAAUUGUAGGCCUGCAUGAAUGGCUUGACGAGGGUUUAACUGUCUCUAGUCUUAAAAUUAAAAUUGGAUUGAAGGUGAAGAUACCUUCAUAUAAAAGUCAGACAAGAAGACCCCGUGCAACUUUUAAAGUCAGUUUAUUAAGGAACUUAAGAUUUUUAGGUGGGGCGCCUACUAAGUAACUGUAACCUUUGUGAAUAUUAAAAACUUUCAAGUAUAGACCCGGCAAAUGCCGAUCAUAGGAGAAGUUACGCCGGGGAUAACAGGCUAAUUCACUAGUAGAGAACGUAUUGGCUAGUGAGAUUGGCACCUCGAUGUUGAAUCAGGGAUGAUACCUUUAAGGCGUAGAAGCUUUAGAAGUGGGUCUGUUCGACCUUUAAUACCCUACGUGAUCUGGUUCCAAA
RNAcentral lists this ribosomal RNA (497 nucleotides) under Dendostrea sp. 2 LC-2013. RNAcentral's name for it is "partial 16S ribosomal RNA". It matches the Rfam family "Bacterial large subunit ribosomal RNA", at positions 1839 to 2615 of the family's 2925-position model. Lineage: Eukaryota; Metazoa; Mollusca; Bivalvia; Ostreida; Ostreidae. The record is from RNAcentral.